This 253-nucleotide ribosomal RNA is filed under the name uncultured bacterium. Its description in RNAcentral is "partial 16S ribosomal RNA". It matches the Rfam family "Bacterial small subunit ribosomal RNA", at positions 524 to 776 of the family's 1533-position model. The record is from RNAcentral.
GACGUAGGGUGCGAGCGUUGUCCGGAUUUAUUGGGCGUAAAGAGCUCGUAGGCGGCUCGUCGCGUCAGCUGUGAAAACCCGCGGCUUAACCGUGGGCUUGCAGCUGAUACGGGCGGGCUAGAGUUCGGUAGGGGAGACUGGAAUUCCUGGUGUAGCGGUGAAAUGCGCAGAUAUCAGGAGGAACACCGGUGGCGAAGGCGGGUCUCUGGGCCGAUACUGACGCUGAGGAGCGAAAGCGUGGGGAGCGGACAGG